AAGAGUGAACGCUGGCGGUAGGCCUAACACAUGCAAGUCGAACGGCAGCACAGUGGUAGCAAUACCAUGGGUGGCGAGUGGCGGACGGGUGAGGAAUACAUCGGAAUCUACCUUUUCGUGGGGGAUAACGUAGGGAAACUUACGCUAAUACCGCAUACGCCCUUCGGGGGAAAGCCGGGGAUCGCAAGACCUGGCGCGGAUAGAUGAGCCGAUGUCGGAUUAGCUAGUUGGUGAGGUAAUGGCUCAUCAAGGCGACGAUCCGUAGCUGGUCUGAGAGGAUUUGAUCAGCCACACUGGAACUGAGACACGGUCCAGACUCCGUACGGGAGGCAGCAGUGGGAAUAUUGGACAAGUGGGCGCGAACGCCUGAUCCACGCCACUACCGCGUGUGUGAAGAAGUCGUU
This 404-nucleotide ribosomal RNA is filed under the name uncultured soil bacterium. RNAcentral's name for it is "bacterial SSU rRNA". It matches the Rfam family "Bacterial small subunit ribosomal RNA", at positions 26 to 418 of the family's 1533-position model. The record is from RNAcentral.